RNAcentral lists this ribosomal RNA (253 nucleotides) under uncultured bacterium. Its description in RNAcentral is "partial 16S ribosomal RNA". It matches the Rfam family "Bacterial small subunit ribosomal RNA", at positions 524 to 776 of the family's 1533-position model. The record is from RNAcentral.
UACGUAGGGGGCAAGCGUUAUCCGGAUUUACUGGGUGUAAAGGGAGCGUAGACGGUAGUGCAAGUCUGGAGUGAAAGGCGGGGGCCCAACCCCCGGACUGCUCUGGAAACUGUGCGACUAGAGUGCAGGAGAGGUAAGUGGAAUUCCUAGUGUAGCGGUGAAAUGCGUAGAUAUUAGGAGGAACACCAGUGGCGAAGGCGGCUUACUGGACUGUAACUGACGUUGAGGCUCGAAAGCGUGGGGAGCAAACAGG